Taeniopygia guttata (zebra finch) is the source of this 7458-nucleotide non-coding RNA. The record is from RefSeq and is a predicted model, not a curated record. NCBI's taxonomy places the organism in Eukaryota, Metazoa, Chordata, Aves, Passeriformes, Estrildidae.
AUUUUGGGAGUUUGGGGGGUUUUGGGGACUUGGGAAUUUGGGGUUUGGGAUUUUGGGGAUUUGGGGUUCGGGUUCCCGGGAUCCCGGCCCUGCUCAGCCUCUCCCGGAUCCGCAGCAGCUCCGGAACCGCCUCGAAACGGAGCCGGGACCCGCCCGGCUCCCGCUGGGAAUUCCGGACCCCCCCCGCCCAAACGGCUCCGAGCAGCUCCAGAAAAUACCCAAAAAAAUUCCCAAAAUUCCCAGGAAAUCGUGGAGAAAGCGGCGCCGGCCCGGAGGCUGCAGAUCCCCGCCGGAAAUCCGGGAAUUCCGACAGGAAAUUCAGGAAUUCUGGCGGAAAAUUCAGGAAUUCCAGAAAGAAAUUCGGGAAUUCCAGUUGGAAAUUCAGGAAUUCCAACGGGAAAUUCGGGACUCCUGGCUGGAAAUGCAGGAAUGGCAUCAGGAAAUCCGGGAAUUCUGUCAGGAAAUCCGGGAAUUCCGGGAAUCCCGGUGCGUUCCCAACUUUCCGUGGCUCAGUUUUACGGGAGCCGGAAUUACCGGGACCCCCUGGAGCGGAAACGGCUCCGGGAGCUGCUGGGGCACGGAGAGAUCCCGGAAAAAACCCGGAAUUCCGGGAAUUCCGACAGGAAAUUCCGGAAUCCCGGCGGGAAAUCCGGGGAUUCCGCCAGGAAAUCCGGGAAUUCCGCCAGGAAAUCUGGGAAUUCUGCCAGGAAGGGCAGCUCCAAAGGCAAAGGGAGCAGCGGGAAUUCCCGGAAUUCCAGGCUGGGGAAUUCCAGGAUUGAGAAUUCCCAGAUUUCCAAUGUUGAGAACUCCCGGAAUUCCAGGAUGGGGAAUUCCCGGAUUUCCGGGAUUGGGAAUUCCUGCAGAAUUCCAGGAUGAAGAAUUCCCUUAUUUGCUUUGAUAGACUUUCCUGCCCCUGGCACAGAGGGAGGGGCUAUAAACCAAAUUGUCAUUACAAAUCUGUCUGAAAAGGACCUAAAAUUAGAUGCCAUGAAAAUGGCUCUGGGAAUCCCCAAAGUCCCAGCUACGAUAUAUUUCAUCUCAUGCAAGAAGACAGAUGAGUAAUUCCCAGGAGCUUCAUGCAAAAUUGGCCCUAAAGCAGAUCCCAGUAGGCAUCAAGGCUGGAUUCUGUAUGCUGCAAGGCUGUCAUAGCAGGAUAUGCUGCAAAAGAGUUUGUUGCAUCUUCUUCCUGAAAAGUUGGUGGAGUUUCUCUCUAUGCAGAGGGUACAACAUUUAUGGUCAGGACAGGGUUUUCUUGCUUUGUGGUUUUCUUGCUGCUGCUGCUGCUUUUAAAGGGGUCAACACUCUUAGCUCCAGGAAACUGAAACUAAAUGUGAGCAGGGACUGGAGGAAGGAAGCAGGGAGGAUCCACUACAAGAUUCCAAAAACUAAAUAAAGCAGGAUUCAACUGCCAGUGGCUGAAUAGCAGCAAUUUAUGAGCUGUUCCUCAAAAGCCCCAGACAAGCACCAAGUCCUGUGGGAAGCUGGAGAUUGACAGAAGACACCUCCAGAAGAGUCUGCUGUUGAAAUUUCCUUUAAGCCUUUUUUUUUUUUUUUUUUUUUUUCAAGUGGAUCAUCCAGACCUGGCAAAUGCAUAAGGUCAGCCCUUGGAAGAGCAAAAAGCUCUCGCCAAGAAAACCAAACGAGUGGCUGAAAUCUGUCCAUUUGUCUGCCUGUCUUUUUGGCCUUGGAUUACUGUGCUUUUCAAAGCUAUUCUUUCAUAACUUGGAUAAAAAGGUAAAUGUUUCAUAUAGCCCCGCAAGUAGUAAUCAUCCUGUCCAUGCAAAAAAAACCUGCUGCCUGAGGGAUGGGCCCCAAACCAGAGGUGUUUCUCAUUUACCUACAAAGCGUCUGGCUUUAGCAUGUGUAGUCAGUUUUUGUGAACAUGUGAGUCCAUUGCCUGCUCUAACAGAGUUAGUGACUUACUUUCAGUGGUUGUAGAGAGUUUCACUGAAACAGCACUGUUUGUAGUCCACUGUGUGACUUAGGAGACACAAUAGCCAGACAAUUCUGCAAGUGUAAUAUAACUGUAUGUGGCGUUCCCAGAAAAUGCUCUGAAGUCUUCUCUCCGUUGCACCAUGGUGAUAAAAACCACUGCUGCUUUUCAAGCUCCACGAGGCCAUGCUGUGCUGUGCUGAAAGGGAUAGAAAAGCCAAUUAGCUCUGAAAAGUGAAGGGCAGGCAGAGAGGGGUGCUCUGGCCUGGAAUUCCCUCCCUUUGGCAGCAGCAAAGGUCAGCUGUGCAGCCAAAUUUCAGUGACCACAUGUGGAUCCAGCUUGUGCGUGUUGCCAGCUAUCUGCACAGGGAGUGGGAGAGGGUGGGGAGGAAGAAUUGAUUCUGGAAGGGGAAAGCCUGAGUUAAAGGGAAAAGUGGAGUGAAAUGUGACAGCUGGGAUUUCCAGAAGAUAGUUUGAUGGAUGCUGGCCAUCCAGCUUCCCUAGAACUCUUUAUCAGUAACACCCUCUAUAUCUCCCUGAGUGACUUUUAGCCUGUCUGGCAGUUUUCAGCAUCAGUGUGUGAGCGAAAAGAGGUGGAAGGCAGUUCUCUCUGAUUUGGCAGCUCUGGGACUUUGUGCUGCUGGCUGAGGGUCUGGAUUUCUCAGGAACUUCCUGGCUACCUGUGGCUCCCACAGGCUUGUAGGACUGGGCUUAGAGAAACCCUGAGCUGCCCGAUGUCUGCUCUUGCUGCAGCUCUUCUGAAUAGUCCUGGGUGUGGAUGUGAGCCUGCAGUCCUUGGGAGGCAGAAUUCACUCCACAAUCCCAAGGGACUUGCUCUAUCUGUCAGUGCAGGCCAGCUGUGGGAAUCCUCCAAGUCCCUUUAUCCUGUUCUGUGUGUCAAGGCCCUGUGGCUGACCACGAGUGCCCCGAGCUGCCAUGGACCCUUCUUGCAAGGGCAAUUGUUUUCAGAGUCAGCGUAGGUGCUGGCUACCUUUGGAAAAGUGUGAAUACCCCGGGGAAAUCCAUGGGGCAGACACCUUGGGCCAUACUGUGUGCUGGCACCAUCAGCAGGCAUGAUACAGACAGAGGUGCUUUGCUUUUGGUGUGAAACCUUGCUCUGAUGCGUCAUUCCAAGGAAAACAGCCGGAAUUGGCAGGCCAGGUCAUGUGGUGAGAUGAGUAAUUCCAGCUCCCUUACUGGACCUGAUUUAUACAGCUCAGGUCCAAUAGUUCUGAGAAAUUGUUGAUGGUGGGAGCCUUUCUGUUUGUUUGUUUCUCUGGAAACUUGAAGCCUUUCAAAUAAAGAACAAAUGAGGUGUAGGGAAUUUUUAGCUGGGGUAUGUGCUUCAGGAUGUUUGCUGCAUUCAGGCUUCAAGAACACAAAUUCUCUGCAGACAAUCCCACACACAGUGGGGGAAAAAAGGAUAUUGGGCUUGGAAGUGCACCAGGGAGAUGGGACUCAAGUGAGCUUUGAACAGCAAUCAUUGUCAUUAGUGGUGGUGCUGUAAUAUGUGCUUGACUCAAAUCCAGCAUUGCACAGGCAAGAACCUGGUGAAAGCUUUGUAACUUGAUAUUUGUGGUUGUGAUCCGCUGUUGAAUAGGCUAGACAUGAAUAAAAUCAGUAUUUUUUAAAGUGUUGUGUGGGGUUUUUUAUGUCAAAAAAGGCUGGUUGCCCUCUUGGACUUUAUUGUGUUCAUGUGAAAUGUUUGAUGUGGACUUAAUACGGGUCUGCAGAUUUUUUAGGACAGUCCACGUCCCCUUGCAGAAUUUCACCUUCCUCAGAGGUGGGUGCUGCAGUGCUGCACUGAAUUUCUGCCACAGGGAAAGAUGUGAAGGUAAUUUGUCAUGUUACCCUGCUGGUCCUGCAGGGGUGGUCCCUCUGUGCUGUGACAGCUCCACAGCCUGCCAUCAGGUUGGCGUGAUCUCCUGGCUGGACAUCGGUGCCGGUGAGGGAUGUGUCUGACUCCAUUCCGGCCCUUGCUCGAGGAAAGGUGUGGGUGAAGGUGCUUUUGCAUCUCCCACAUUCUGUGUCUGGUUGGACACCAAGACUAAAGACUGCCAAUUUGGGCACUGCCCAGAGUGUUACCACCUUCCAUGAGACCUGUCCUGCUCCAUCAUGGGCACUGCAUGUGGGAAUGCUCAAUGGCAAUCUCCAAAUUACUCCUCACUCAGCUUUUUCUUGCUUCUGGACUCGGGAGCCACAAAGGUAAGUCCAUGCAUGUGGCAUUGAUCCAUGCGUCUGCCUCACUCACAGUCACGCUGGCAGAGGGCAAGGAGACAACAGUCAAGGAAAAAGCCUUGUUUUCCCAGUGGAUGCAGGAGUCUGUGUCUUGCUGAAGGGCAGUGGUCCCCACACAGAUUGUUUUUCUUUUUUCCUCUCCCCCACCACUGUGGCAGCAUUGUUACUGGUGAGUUCGUGUGCUUGUCUGCUCCCUGUACCUCACCCAGAGCCCUCACUGCCUCUGGUCCUUGAGCCCUGGACACGUUUGCACAUUUGAGUUAAUCCACAUACUUUGUUUGUUUUACAAAGUCUUUUUUUUCUCUCAGCUGCCACAUUUCAAAGCACACUUGCUUACUUUACUUCAUCUCUUUCCCUUCUUCAUCCAGCCCAGAUGAUUCUUCACUCCCCUCUGGAGGGAAGUUGCUGUCCCAAAGCUAUUGUAAAUGCAGGUGAACCCGGUGGGAAGAAAUGGUGAUGUCUGACUCCAGUUCAGAAGGCUGAAUGAUUUCUUUAUUAUAACUAUACUAUAAUGCAUUCAUAUACUAUUUCAAGGAGAUACUAAAACUACAAACCUACCAAAUCUCACUGACUCACAACUCGUGACCCUCUGAGAGCCCAGCCCCAGGAGGGUUGGAUUGGCCAUCAGACUCAAGCAAUCCUCACCAGAAUCCAACCAAGCACUCACCCCAGGUAAGUAAUUCUCCAAACACAUUCCACAUAGGGAAAAGAAGGAGCAGAAAUAGAAAUUGUUUUCUUUUUCUUUCUUCUGUGUUCUUCUUUGUUCUGUGUUCUUCUAUGAAAAAAUCCUGAGACAGCAGUGAAUGUGCCUACCACACAAACCCCACCGCACUAAAGUGAGUGGCACAAAUGCCACCGAGGGAGCUGUGUUUUGGAUCCCAUCAGUACAGACCCCCCCACUUGCCAGCCUGCACCAGCAGUGCUCCAAACCUGCAGCAAUGUGUGUAGAAUUGAGAUUGCUCACAACUACAGGUAGAUGUCUAAUGUCCAGGCAAUAUCACAUAAAUCAUCUCUUCACCCCAAAAAAUUAAUCAGAUUUGGGUUACGAUGAUGCAAACCCCUUUAUCUCCCUAUCACCACCACCUCUCCCCCUUUAGUAUUUAUUAAAGAAAAGUCAAAAUGCUUCUAAUAAUUUUUUUUUUUUUUUUUUCCCCCUAUGAAAAUGUCUUUUUUAUCUAGCAGGUAGCAAAGAUCUGAAGGGAGGAGUGGUCAUCUCAGGCUGCUGGGGGUGGUCACUCAUCAGAACUGUAAAUGGGUGAUGGGGAUGGAGACAAAGGCAAUUCUGGUCAGGCUGCAAGCACAGCCCUGACUUCCACUCUUGUAAAUAGUCAUUUCACGGCUUCCUUCUGAAAUUUGGGAUUUAGGGAGUUCCAGCAAGAGGUGAGGCCGCUCCAGGGCUGUGUCUGUGAGCCCCAGGAAUCUGUUCUACAUUUUUUCAGUCCCUUGCGUGGUGUUAAAUUUUGUGACACCUUCUUCAGUCUGACUUACUGCAGAUAAGACAGAGAGGAUUUUUUUAAACCAAUGAGGAUUAGGGUAAGUUUGGAAUAAGGUUUUUAGAGGGUGGAUUAUGAAGGCACGAGCUGUGCAAGGCUGACCAUUUGAGCUUCAUCUGCCAUAAGGGCCCACAGAGUAUUAAACUUCAUUCAAGGCAAUUCAGGUAUAAAGGAAAUGUCAGGAAGAAGGAGGAGCAGGGAGGAGUAUAAAUGUAUUCAUUCUGAGUACAGCAUUUGUAUUUGCUGUUGUAAUUGGUCUGUUAAAAUGAUUUCCUAGAAGUGAAUUAGCGAUCCCAGUAGAGAAUACAAUUUGGAGAGCCAUUAAAUUAGAAGAAACUAAAUCGAAGGCAGAGUAGCAUCUCUUCUAUGCUGUGGCAGAAACUGUGUUGCAGACAGAUUGACUGCUGACAGAUCGUCAGAACUGAGUGGUAUUCACUCAUGACUUCCAAGGGGAAUUGUGGAAUUACCUACAGCACUUCAUUCACUUAAUGAAUUGUUGCCUCCAUUGUUGCCUGAAGCCUGCAGAGUAACAAAGGCGCUGGCUUUCUUUGAAACGGUUUCCAUAGGUGUCUCUAAGGUACCGCAGCCUGGUAAAUGUAACUUCUGCAGGAGGAGAAUUACUUGUAUAACAAGGAAUUGAAUCAGUGAAUGCCUGAUAAAUACAAAAAAUGUCCUUCAUAAAAGUCACCAUCAUUUCUGUUAUGGGAGGUUUUGCUUCGGGACACUGAUUUCUUUGGAGAGAUAAACAAGCACGGUGGUAAUGGUGAGACUUCUUGGUUAGGUCAGAAGGUUUUAGAGGGAAAUGUCCACUCACGUGAUCAAAAGAGAAGAUCCUGGCAUGGUUAAAAAUGGGAAACAGUGAGCUUGUAGGUUUAGGUGAUCUGCUUGUGGUCAUUCUUCAGACUUUUAAUAUUCAUGCAGAAGUUUGGCAGAAACAGGAAACUUAUGUGUAGACCAAAAUCAGUUCAGCUUCUACAGUAAAUGGUAUUAACUGGUGUUAUGUAGCUUUGACCCUUUGGAGAGAUCUAAAUCUGGCCUUUCCCAAGUUCUGAUGGAGUAAAAUAACUGUUUCCCAGUCUUUUAUUUGCAGAUACUCUAAAUAUUGUUGCUGGGGAUCUAUAUAAAAAAUUCAAAGGUAAGUAAAAAUAAGUAUUAGCAGUAUGUGUGAAAUAUAAUAUAAAUAAUAAUUUGUCUAUCUUGCUACCUUUAUAUAUAUAUAUAUAUAUAUAUAUGAUAUAUAUUUCUAAAUACGUCACUAUAAAGUAGAAAUGCAAAUGUGACUAUAAUGAUGAAAACAAUAUAUAAAUAUUCAAGUAUCGUUUAAAGAAGGGGCUUUUUUUUGCUUUUUAUUUGGUUAGAGGCAGGGUUUUAAUGGAAGAAAAAUGAAUAUACCUUUUAUUUUGAUAUCAUUCUAAAUAUAGAAAUAUAUAUUCAAUGUAUGCAGAGAUUUUUCUAUUCUAUCUCUUCUGAAUAUUUAUUUUCAUUUCUAUUUUAUACUUUCAUAUAACACCAUACAUCAAUCUACAUUUUAAACGUAAAUUUGAAUAUAAAUGCGAAAUAUAGAGACAAAUUUAAACGUAGUUUAAAAGAAAAGGGGUUUUUAAAAGAUUUUUACUUGGAUAGAGGCAGGGGUUUAUUUUAAGCAAUAUAAACCUUUUAGAAAUAGAAAUCUAUCUAUAGAAAUAUGUAAGCAAUGUAUUAAGCAAUGCAUAAAAAUAUAAAUUGUAAUAAAGGAAUAAAUGUAAGAAAUUAUAAAAAUACAAUUACACAUCAAUAUACGUUAUAAAUCCGAAUG